CUGGGGGGAUUCCUCAAACGCCCGACUCCACAACCCCUCCUAAUACAGGCUGAGGGGGGAUUAGAGAUGGCUAGGGUUUGAGGUAGUGUUGUCGAAUCCCCCCUAAUCUCGGACGAUCUUACCCCUCGUAAUCCCCCUUUUCCACUCUCCAAGCUCCAUUUUCUGUUCGCAGUCUUCUCUCGGUCUUGUUCGAAAGAGAAGUGUGGCGAUUUGGGUGCUUUGGUGGAUUUGAAGUUCGAUUCAUCAGGUACCAUUUCUGUCGCAACUCUUCUCGAUAGUGUUUUUGUUCGAAAGAGAAGAAGAGGUUUGUGGUGAUUUGGGUGCUGGUUGAUUUGAGUUCGAUUCACUGAGGUUUUGGCCAAUGAUGAAAUUUUUAGUAGGGCAAUGAUGAAUCGAUUCAAUUCUUAAAUAAGGUAGAUACCUUGGCGGGGUAACGUUAGUUGCAGCCAUGAGUACCCUUAUGAUUCUUACCUAUUGUCUGAGCCCAAUCAAAUCUUAAACUGUGCUUGAUAAUACUAUGUCAUGCUUGAGUGUGUGUGUUGGAAUAUAAGUUGGUGUUGUGGGCAAUGAUGAACAUUCUCUGAGCCUCUGUCGGACGAAUUUGGGCUGCUGUGAUUUGGUUCUGCAAUUUUGUGUUCUGUUUUUGUGUUGGACAUUGUAAGUGCAAGUUGUAAUGGCAUAUAAGUGGUGUUGUGGGCAAUGAUGAACAUUCUCUGAGCCUCUGUCGGACAAAUUUGGGCUACUGUGAUCUGGUUCUGCAGUUUUGUGUUCUGUUUUUGUGUUGGACAUUGUAAGUGCAGGUUGUAAUGGCAUAUAAGUGGUGUUGUGGGCAAUGAUGAACAUUCUCUGAGCCUCUGUCGGACGAAUUUGGGCUACUGUGAUCUGGUUCUGCAGUUUUGUGUUCUGUUUUUGUGUUGGACAUUGUAAGUGCAGGUUCUAAUGGCAUAUAA
Long non-coding RNA from Rhododendron vialii, 950 nucleotides. RefSeq lists it as uncharacterized. The transcript has 4 exons. The record is from RefSeq and is a predicted model, not a curated record. Lineage: Eukaryota; Viridiplantae; Streptophyta; Magnoliopsida; Ericales; Ericaceae.